CCUGGGAUUCCGAGGAGUUUCCAUUCGGUGAUCAGCACUGAACACAGAAGACCAACCAUGGAGUUUGGGCUGAGCUGGGUUUUCCUUGUUGCUAUUUUAAAAGGUGUCCAGUGUGAGGUGCAGUUGGUGGAGUCUGGAGGGGGCUUGGUACAGCCUGGGGCGUCCCUAAAACUCUCCUGUGCAGCCUCUGGAUUCACCUUCAGUAGCUAUGGCAUGCACUGGGUCCGCCAGGCUCCAGGGAAGGGGCUGGAGUGGGUGGCAGUUAUAUGGUAUGAUGGAAGUCAGAAAUACUACGCAGACUCCGUGAAGGGCCGAUUCACCAUCUCCAGAGACAAUUCCAAGAACACGCUGUAUCUGCAAAUGAACAGCCUGAGAGCCGAGGACACGGCCGUGUAUUACUGUGCGAGAGACACAGUGAGGGGAAUAUUGUAAUUACCACCUGCCCUG
Nomascus leucogenys (northern white-cheeked gibbon) is the source of this 447-nucleotide non-coding RNA. The record is from the annotation of a RefSeq genome assembly. Lineage: Eukaryota; Metazoa; Chordata; Mammalia; Primates; Hylobatidae.